RNAcentral lists this long non-coding RNA (10847 nucleotides) under Capsicum annuum. RNAcentral describes it as "long non-coding RNA (CANN_LNC006089)". Lineage: Eukaryota; Viridiplantae; Streptophyta; Magnoliopsida; Solanales; Solanaceae. The record is from RNAcentral.
GGGAGUAAAUGAACAAUGAAAUCAAACACAAAGACAACGUGUUCAAUAGAGGAAUUAGUGUCGAUGAAAAGCUAAAACCAAAACUAAAGGAUUAGAAGCACGAAAUAAUACACCCGUGGAUUGGAAAACACACGAUUAUCAUGAACGAUAGGUUCAAAGCAGUCAAAGGAACAUGCAGCUAAGGCCAAUGUUGUGCCUAUGGAAGAAGAACAACUUGCUUCAGUCUCAAACAAGUUGAGGUAUAAGAAUUUACUAUUCCAUUUAAGCUCAACACAUGUCAUCAUCAUACCAAAUAAAAAUACAAGUGAAAAUAAGUUACAUAACAAAAAUAAUUAAAACCUUUUUCCAACUAGUAGAUAUGGCCUAUAUGAGUCUUGAUACUACAUUGUGUCCUAUCUUUAACCAAGUCUGCAUUGAUUCCAAGAAAUUAUAGGUCGUUCGAGACAACUUCUCUAGGUCUAUCUCAUCUCCUUUUAACACAUUGGUCACCAUGGUCUCACACCUACUAACCGGUACAUCUGGAGGUCGCUGCAACACGUUGAACCUAUGAAAGAAGUAGUCAUUAAAAAGUUCAAACCAUUUAUCAUUAACAACUCCUCCUAUUGUUUCUUCCCUUAAAAACCAAUUGUUGGAUGCACACCAAAACAACUUUGGGAAGGAAUAAUCCUCAAGGUGCCUAAUCAUUUGCUACCAUUUUUAUUUAAUAAUAGAUUAUGCCCAUAAUGCUUCUUUUUUUCUUAUCCAGAAAGCACAGCUGUAUAUGUCUAAGAGAAAAAUAUGAAUGAAUAUAGUAGGUCUCACCAUCCACCAUAUAACAUCAAAAUAAAUGAACCCCACAAGCUCAGAAAGUGGAUCUAUUGAAAUGCAAUCAUUACAUUCCAGAAGUCUUAAAAAGCUUCUGACUCCCAGUGUAUGUCAGUAACAGUUUCUUAGACAUCAAUAUAACAAAGUUAAAACUCACUUUAUGCCAGUAGCAUGUUGGAAAAUUGUACUGUGUAUAUAUAUUGGACACUUUAGGUGAAUUUCUUGGCUUUGCCACUGUUAAAUUCACUAAGCUACUAGUACUCUAGGAGUAAUAAAACUCAGUAAAAACCAUAUUGAUGAUGAAUUUUAUUAAGCUUCUCUUGUUUAACAUGUCCUCUGGAGAGGCUCAUACAAAUGAUGNNNNNNNNNNNNNNNNNNNNNNNNNNNNNNNNNNNNNNNNNNNNNNNNNNNNNNNNNNNNNNNNNNNNNNNNNNNNNNNNNNNNNNNNNNNNNNNNNNNNNNNNNNNNNNNNNNNNNNNNNNNNNNNNNNNNNNNNNNNNNNNNNNNNNNNNNNNNNNNNNAUUUCAAGACAACAAAGGUACAAGCACUAGAUAUUCAGAUAACGUACAGUUCUCAAUAACAGUCAGACCUCACUAUAUCAAAGACCUUCAACAACAUUUCACUAUAACGGGCAAGUUUUCUGUGGUACUGAUUUUUCAUGUUGUGUUAUAUUAUAUGUUCUCUAUAACAACAUUCCACUAUAGCAGUCAAAAAAAUCCGAACAAGCGAUGCAAUUAUAGAGAGGUUUGACUGUAUAUCAACCUUCUCAAGGAGAAAUGAAUGCAUAGUUCCACUAAUAUUAGGAAGUAAUCAAGUUCCCUAGAAUUGGAUUCAGAGUUCUUAUUUCAUACGAAAACCCAAAGAUAAUUUUUUAAAAAUUCUUUUUCAAUUUCACUCAACAGCCAAAAUCCAUAGCAACACACCUAGUGAAAUCUCACAAGUGGGGGUCUGGGAAGGGUAGGGAGAGUAGUGUACUCAGACCUUACCUCUAUCUCAAAGUUAGAGAGAAUGUUUCCGAUGGCCUCAAAAAAACAUUUCAAAACAGUCAACAACUAUAAACAAAAACAACAAAUAUUUUAAAAACAAAAACUAUAACAAAACAAUAAGAUAAUUGAGAUACAAAAAAUAUUGUAUAGUAACAGAAAUCGAAGAACAAAAAACUACAGUAGCAAUACUACGACAACUAAUAAAAUAAAAAAUCAAGAAGCUCACAUUGAUCACAGUAAAGACAACUUCCCAAGGCUGAAAAACACCAUCUUUCCAACCUGAAAAGUUACAAACACUCAGAAACUCCUCAUUCCAUUCAACAAGCCCUUCAUCUUCCUUCAACCACUCUUCUUUAGUAAAAUUCUUCUUUACACUUCUCCUAUUAAAUGACCCCAAAUUCAAUGAAAUACCCUUUGAUGAUCCCUUCCACUUAAUUUCAACUCUGAAUCUAUCAAAAUCUUGGACCCCCAUUUUCUCAUUUAACAAAAAGUUGAAACCUUUAAGGCAAUUAAUAGUAAUCUUAGCCUCGUAUUUAUUUGAUGAUAAUAAGGGUGAGCAUGACAUCCACUUCAUCAUCUUCACAACCAUAUUAUAUAUAUAAACUUUUUCACCCAGGUGUCGCCUAGCGGUCAAUGAAAUGAGUCACAACAGGUUCAAAUUCUAAUAAAGACAAGGUUCGAACUCUACGAUUAUCAAAUAUAUAUGUAUAUUUUUUUCACCGACACAAAACAAAAAAAUACCAAGAAAGAUCACUUUUUUUCUCAAAAAGACUUAAGGACUAGGAAUGUGCUUGUAGACACCGGGUGGUUUGGUACAUGAUGAAUAAACAGUAGUUACUAUAAAUAGGGAAAUAUAAUAAUUUUAAGAUAUAGUGCAUCCCAAGCUUUACGGUGAGAAAAUGAUUAAUUUCCUUAUAUGGCAUAUUAAAACAACUUCUCUAUAUCUUAUAUUAUUUCGAUUUAUUUUUAUUUGUCACGCUUGAUUUUGUUUUUUUUUUUUACUUUUUACAUGAGGUAUAAGAGGUCGAAUAUAAUGGGUAUGAGGAAAGACGGGGGAAGCUUGCUAAUAGUGAGGGGGUUCAUCCAAACUCCCUUCCGCAGAAUAUUAUACUACUAUUUAUACAAGUUUAAAAUGAUUUUUCAUGUAUAUAUAGCAGACGUUGAACCCCCUUCGACUAGUUCUUUAGUCCAUAUUUUUUGAUUUUGAACCCCCUUAGUUAAGAUUGAGGAAAGGUUGAUAUAGGUCGGUGAUAUAUUGAAGAGAGAUGAUUAGAUAGGACAUAGUGUAAUUUUUUACUUUGCGAGAGUUAAUUUAACUAAUAUUCGGUUUAAAUUGAAUUUAUUUAAAAUUCAAAUGUUUGAUAACUAUACGAAAGAAUACUACUUCUUCGGAUUCAAUUUAUUAUCUGGUUUUGAUUUGACAUUGAGUUUAAAAAAGUAAAGAAUAUUUUAAAAUUUUGCAAUUAAAUUAUGUCUUUUACUUGUGUGGUUCACUUUUAUUUGUCACGUUCGACUUUGUCUAUUUUUACUUUUCAAGAAAGCUAUGAGAGGUUGGAUAUAAUGAACACGAGGAGAGGUUGAUGUAGGUCAAUGAAGUAUUGGAGAACAUAGAUUAGAAAAGAUAUAGUAUAACAAAAUUUAUUUUAAAAAAUUCAAAUGUUUAAAAACUAUAGAGAAAAUCUACUUUUAUUGUUUCAAUUUGUUUGUUUGAUUUUGACUUGACAUGAAAUUUAAGAAAAACGAAGAAUAUUUUAAUUCUUGUGGCCGGAGUCCUACACUAAAUAUAUGUAGAAUAUAUCAACAUAUCAUUUAAUCUUGUUGUGUUAAACAUAUCGUGUGGAGAGUUAAAGCAUUAUCAAAAAAUAAAGCAUAUAUUUUAAACAACUAAAAAGAAACGUACGGCAAAUAGAUUAAAACAGAGGGAGUAGAAUAAGUUGUAAUCCUUUUCGUAUAAAUAUAAUUAAAAAAUAUAUUUUAAAAUUUUGAUCAACAUCAAUGCAAUUUAAUUCUCAAGGAAUAAAAUAUGACAAGUAAAUCAAACGAAUAGAAUGAUAAUUUUAUACAUACAUAAAUUUAUAAUAUAUUAAAAGUGUGAAGACCCUUAAAAAAAUUGAUUUGAACUUUUGCCCUUCAUUAAAAGACUUUCUUUAGACAAAACUGUAUUUUCACUAUUUUUUAAAUUUAUUAUUUAUUUAUUGUUUAUUAUAUUGACUAGAAUUCCUAAAAUAUAUGGGACGCCUAAAAUAUAUGGUAGGAGAAUUAAUUAAUAUUUUUCUUUCUACUGUUCAAGUAGAAAAAUACUCCUAAAAUAUGACUAAUUUAUUAUUUAAUUAUUUUUUAUUAUAUUAACUAGACUUCCUAAUAUAUGGGACUCCUAAAAUAUAUGGUAGGAGAAUUAAUUACUAUUUUUUUCUUUCUACUGUUUGAUUAGAAAAAUACUCCUAAAAUAGGAUUCUAUUAAGGAAAUACUCUAUAAAUUUUAAUUAUCUUAUUAUUUUACUUUAAUUUACAGAUGUUAGCUAAAUGUGUGUCGGCUUUGAAUUUUUUUUUAGGUAAAUGUUAGGUUUAAUUGUAUUAUCGUAAUAUCUAUAUUAAAUUUAUUAUUUUGUGGUAAUUUACAGUUCGUAGAUGAAUGUCGAUCGGUUUUAAGAAAUUUUUAUGUGUAAAAUUUAAGUUUAAUAAUAUUAUUUUUAUAUCACUUUUAUCGUAUUAUUUUGUUGUAAUUUACAGGUGAUAGAUAAAUAUUGGUCAGCUUUGAGAAAUUUUUUAUGUAAAAGUUAGGUUUAGUUGUAUUAUUUUGAUAUCUCUAUUAUUGUAUUACUUUAUUAUUGUUUACAGAUGUUAGGUGAAUGUCGAACGACUUUGAGAAAUUUUUUGUGUGUAAAGAUUAGAUUUAGUUGUGUUAUUUUGAUAUCUCAAUCAUUAUAUUAUUUUGUUAUAAUUUAUAGAUGGUAGAUGAAUGUCGAUCGACUUUUAAAAAUAUUUUGGUAAAGAUUAGGUAUAAUAAAUAAAUUCUUCAUCUUUACAUACUCAAAAGAUAUUAGUUUUUUUCUUCAUUUUUUCUUUUCCUUUUUUUGUUUUCUCUUCUUUCUUUCUUUUUUCAAAUUUUUCUUUCUCGUUAUCUUUUUUCCAUUUUGUCUUUUUUUUUUCUUUUUUUUUUUUUGUUUUUUUCCCCUAUUUUCUAUUACUCUUUUCUUUUUUUUUUUCCAAUUUUUUCCUUCAUUUUUUCUUUUCCUUUUUUUGUUUUCUCGUUUUUCUUUCCUUUUUCAAUUUUUUUCUUUUUCGUUGUCUUUUUUUCAUUUUAUCCUUUUUUUUUUCUUUUUCUUCUUUUCCUUUUCAAUUUUUCUCUUUUUUUCUCUAUUUUCUAUUACUGUUCUUCUUUGUUUGUAUUUUUCUCGUUUUUUCUUCUUUUUUUUUUCUUUUUCUCUUUCUUUUCAUUUGUGCGAACUAGCAAACACAAAUACAAGUGUGAACUAUAAAAUAUAAAUACAAAGACGAAUUAUAACAUACAAAUACAAGUGGGAACUAUAAAAUACAAAUAUAAAUGCGAAUUAUAACAUAUAGAUACAAGUGUGAACUAUCAUUUAUAUUUUUUAAUUAUUGAAAAGGAACGAUUGAUUUUCUUUUUACGAAUAUUUAUUUGUAUUUAUUUAUACGAGUUGUAUUUAUUGAUACAAAUAAAUACAAUUCAAUUUUUUUACAAAAAAUACAAUAUAUACAAAUACAAUAUCUAUUUGUAUUUUUAAAAUUAUUGGUUUUAUUUGUUUGUAAUUGUAUUUGUAUCAAGUGAUAUUUAUUUAUUUACAAAUACGAAUAGAAUAGAAUAUUUUAUAUUUUGAAAGUGAAUACAACGGCUGUGAAUAGAAUACAACAGCUAAAUGAUACUGUAUUUGUAUUUUAUAUUUUAUAUGAAUACAUACUAUUGAUAAAGUUGAAUACAACGGGUGUAAAUUGAAUAUAGCGGCUAUAAAUGAUAAUUAUAUAAUAUAUGGCUAUGAAAGGUGAGUUUUCCAGCAAAAUGUAGCAAUUUUUGAAAGAUCCCCUUUUUAUUAUAUUAACUAGAAUCCUAAAACAUAUGGACUCCUAAAAUAUAUGAAAGGAAAAUCAAUUAAUAUUUUCGUUUGUACUGAUCAAUUAGAGAAAUACUCCUAAAAUAGUAUAGAAAAAUUCUCCUAAAAUAGGAUUCCAUUAAGUAAAUACUUCUAUAAAUAUUAAGAUGCACGUUAAACUAGAGAAAAAACCAAUUUACUUAUUGGAUAAAUAUGAUAGAUGCUCAUCUAACUUGAUUCGGUUGCAUGUCUAGAUUCGUGGAUGCUCAAUUUUCUAACCCUCAACUUCUUCACUAUUUUUGUCAACAUAAUAAAAUUCAAUGUGUGUGUAUAUAUAUAUAUCUUCUUUGCUUUCAUUCAAGUCAUUCUUUAGUGUCAAAAUUUUUGCUCAGACAAGAAUUAUUUACAUCAAAACUGAAGUUUUGUGAUCACUAUUGUAUUAUUUUGUUGUAGUUUACAGGUUGUAGAUGAAUUUACAGGUGGUAGAUGAAUGUUGGUCGGCUUUGAGAAUUUUUUUUGGGUGAGGGUUAGGUUUAAUUGCAUUGUUUUUAUAUCUCUGUUUUGCAAAAUUUUUUUGCGUAAAGGUAAAGUUUAGUUGUAUUAUUUUGAUAUCUCUAUUGUCAUAUUAUUUUGUUAUAGUUUACAGGUGAUAGACGAGUGUCGGACGGCUUUGAAUUGUGUAAAGGUUAGAUUUAAUUAUAUUGUUUUGAUGUCUCUAUCAUCUUAUUGUUUUGUUGCUGUUUAUAGGUGGUAGAUGAAUGUCGAUCGGCUUUGAGAAAUUCUUUUGGUAAAGGCUAGGUUUAAUUAAAUCAAUUCUCCAAAAGAUGUUAAAUUUAAUUAUUGUAUUUAUCUUUAUUAUUUAAACAAAUUUGAACUCGAUAAAGUGAGGUACACUAAACUAGUUUUAUAAUACAUGGUAACCCACUUUUACUAAUAUUAUUUACAACAGUGGCUUUUAUGGCUUUGAUUAUUUUUUUUGAGAUAAGCAUCCAGUAUUGCCUCAAACUAUGGUAAAAUUUGUUACAACACACUCCAACUUCACAGAGAUCCUAUUACCCCUGAACUCAAUUUUAGCAAAUUUUUGUCACUCUUUUGUGCUGACGUAGCAUGUUUGUUAUAUAAAAGGGGCUCCACGUCAAAGAUGUCACGUCAGCUAAAAAGAUUGACAAAAGAUGUUACGGCAGCACAAAAGAGUGAUAAAAAUACGCUAUAAUUGAUUUCAGGGGUAAUUGGAUCCCCUGAAUUUGGAGUGUGUCGUAGCAAAUUUGAUCAUAGUUUAGGGUAGUAGAUGCUUUACUCUAUUUUUUGAAAAAACUUGGUUUGAAUUUAGAUGCAGCCUAUUUAGAAGAAGAAAGAAGUAUACAAUGACUAUUGUUGUCUAAAAAUUUUCUUUGAAAAGUAACUUUUGUUCUUGUUUAAAAGAACUACAAUGCUUUAUUUAUAACUCUUGACUAAUGGUCUAGCUCUGCAUCUGCAAGGGGGUGUAAUAUAGACGACCUACCCUUAUGCAAGCUGAUUCUAUGGCCCCAUUCCAAUGACUUAUAGGUCACAAAGCGACACAUAAGUAAGUAGCCUACCCUAACACUGCUUCCAAUGCUCAAACCUGUGACCUAUAGAUCACAUGGAGAAUUGCGUAACCGCCACCAUCAACAACUGAUUCCACGACACAAACCUAUGACUGGCAUAUAUUUAAGCAACCUAUUUGGAUGUGCAAGUACCAGUGUGACUUCGUAGCUCGAACUCGUGAGCUAUAAGUCACACGUAAACUUUAUUGUCAGCCUAUCCUGCUGUUCAGGUACCAAUGAGUGAUUUGGAUGACUCGAGUUCACGCACAAUUGUCCUUGCUCCAAAGAUAGAGAAAAAUGAUUAUCCUAAUGUACACAGUGUGAUGGUGCAGUAUACUUUCUUAAUUCUUACUAUUGAAAAGGGCAGCCCGCUGUGCUAUAGCUCCCGCUAUGCACAGGGUUUGUGGAAGGGCCCCACCACAAGGGUGUAUUGUACGCAGUCUUACCUUGUAUUUCUGGUAGUUACCUUGACCAGGAGGUCACAUGACAACAACUUUACCGAUUAAUCCAAGGCUCCCCUUCAAAAGAAGCGUCGACGAAAAUCGUUUGACUGGUGAAGGGGAAGAAUACCUUCAACUACUAGGGUUGGUUUUCAAAUAAAAAUAAAACAAUAAUAAUCAAGAGGAGUAUAGAACUAAUGUGUUCAUUUAUCUCAACUUCUCUCUUUGAGAGAACCAUAGAAAAGUACUCUUGAGCAGUUCCAUAGUCAUUUACAUUAACAUUAGCAUUCCUCGAGUACGAAGAAGAAAAGACAAAGAAUAUACCGACGAGCUAGUUACACUCAUAUAUACGAAUGAAAACAAAGAAGAGACUCUCCAGCUCAAAAUUCCUAAAUGGUAUGUAGAACAAAUAGGAUUAGUGCUAUGUAUAUACUCUUAAAGCUUUACCAAUCAUUGCUUAUUCUGCUGCUGCCAAUGGUACUUUGGCCAAACUGUUAGCAAUCAGUUCUUCUGAAGACGACUCCUCAAACUUGGGGACAAAGCUCAUCGUGUAGUGGAACUCUAUUUGUAGGCGCUGAUGAAGGGGUGUCGAUGCCAUCAAUCCUUUCUUUACAUCAACUUGUAACUCCCUAAUAGGGAUUGCUGCCAAAAAACUCUUAAUGUACUCUUUACAUGCCUCUUUACCUUUAUAAAUGAUGUUCUUUUCAGGUACCCUGUCUUCCUGCAUACUGUCGUCGCUGUUGGUGCUCAUGAAAAUUUUGCUUUCAUCCGCAGCCUCUUUGACAUCGGUUUUCUGUUUUCUAUCGCAAGAUGGCUUAUCAUCUGGUUGUUGAGACUCACUAGGUGCUUGCAUAAUUGUUGUAUCUUGGUCAAAUUUGAGGAUAUAUGCCUGAUUACAACCCUCAAAAAGUAUCUCCCCAAGUGUGUCAUUGAUAUAGUACUCGUCUUUUUCAACCUUGAGGAUAAAGAAGUGGUCAUUCUAACUCACAAUGUAAACACAGGAGAUGCCAUGAUGAGGAGUUUCUUGAGUGGACUUAGAAAUCUCAUCCCAUAUGUUGUCAAAAGACGUGGAACCAUGAAGGAAGUGGAAUCCUUCCUCUUCUUCGAUUCCUUCGGGAUGAAAGAACCCAAUGAAUGAUUUUUCUGAGACUACUGAGAGUGGACGCACUUUAGCCUCGAGAACUGUCACGAGGUCAAAAUGCUUAUAUGGAAAACGUUCCCUAUAGGUCUCGUUUUCACAAAGAUCCCUCCACUGCAUCGAGCCUUCACAGAUAAGAGAAUCAAGUUGGGAUUUGAUGGGCAUAUCUUCAGGAUUGCAGUGGAACCAAUCAGCUAUGACAGCAACCAAGUUUGUACAAGCGCUUUCACCAGUAGCUCGUUUACUUCGUUGAUCAAUCAAAGCAAAGAAUAUCGAAGUCUGCAGCUUCAUUUGUCCGUCAUGGCUUAUUAUUUCUUUUUGCUCCCAACUACCCACAGCAAAACUUUCAUCUCAAAACUUAGAGACUGAAAUCGGAGAAGUUUCCUCAGAUUUGUGCCCCUGUAUGAACUACACACAUUAGUAAGAGGACUAGUUAUGACAUAUAUCGUCAAUCAUGAAUAAGAAAACCUCAGCAGUUAGAUACUUGAUACAACUGUACAAGUAGACUAAGCUACUAAAGAAAGCUACCAAACUUUGUAAUCUUCAAUUCGGCAAGCACAUUAGUGUACAAGUUAUUGCACGUUGAUCAGACCAUGACAUGAAGAUAAAAAAUGACUCAUCAAACAUAACAAAGAAAGCAAGAAAAAAAGAGACGUACCCUAGAAGAAGACUCGUUAGAUGAGCAAAGCUGUCGGCGAUCAAAGUCUAUAUCAUCUGCACCAUCCUCUCCAUAAUGUUUCUUCAACAAUGGCUCCCCCUUGGUUUUAGGAUAUUUUAAACUCAACUUCCUCUUCCUCCAGGAAAGAAGACUACAUUUUGAACUCUGCUCUGCAGAUUGAUUUGCUGCAGUUUUAUCCUCAGGGUACUUGUGCUUUGUGUCUGAAAUAUGAUGGCUGUAGUGGACUAAAUCCUCGUUACUACUGCUGCCGCUUGUAUUUGAACAAAAUGAUCCACCAGCAUGGUCUGUAUAGACGGGUGCUUCAUAACUGAAUAACUUCUGAACACUUGUAUCCUCUUUUCCUUUCUCAGAUUCUCCUACCGAAUCCUCAUCAAGUUAAUCGGUAUCCACAGGAUAAACAUAAUCGGGAUCCUCACUUCUGACUGAGUUCCUUCCAUCACUGCUGCUACCUUCCUCUGCAUGAUAUGCCUUUUUGUGUCGCCUAAAAGAUAAUGAUUUCCAAAAUUUAACCUUUUGUAGACCUGCUUUUAAAGAACCACCCCCAUUUCUGUCUGUCAACAAAGCCUUUCCAGGGUUUGGAGAUACUGGAGCAGACAUGAUAAACUUCAGAAAUAUCUCUGAAGCUUCGUGAGUGUUCCUCAAUUCCACAAGGUUGAGCACUAGCUGUCAACAAAUAUAUGAACAUAUCUUUAGGAAACAGUUGCAUUAGAUAAUAUAUUCACGUAGCUGCAGGAAUACAAGAACGCAAACAAAAAGCAUGUGUUUUAGUUUCUCUUAAACAGAGUGAAAGGCAAUUCUUGAAGCUGCCAACAGAGACUUUCAAGGGAACAAAAUUUUCAAUGCACUCUUGUUUAUCUCUAGCUACUGAAGCAAAGUCUGCAAGAUUCAAUGUCGCAGCAGAAAGUAUGGGUACCUUCUGAUUUGGUCCUUUGCUUGUACCCUGAUUCAGCAGAAGUAUGAAUAAAUACAAAGAAGGGAGUAAAUGAACAAUGAAAUCGAACACAACGACAACUUGUUCAAUGGAGAAAUUAGUGUCGAUGAAAAGCUAAAACCAAAACUAAAUGAUUAAAAGCACGAAAUAAUACACCCAUGGAUUGAAAAACACACGAUUCUCAUGAACGAUAGGUUCAAAGCAGUCAAAGGAACAUGCAGAUAAGGCCAAUGUUGUGCCUAUGGAAGAAGAACA